Long non-coding RNA from Phyllostomus discolor (pale spear-nosed bat), 1209 nucleotides. RefSeq lists it as uncharacterized. NCBI's taxonomy places the organism in Eukaryota, Metazoa, Chordata, Mammalia, Chiroptera, Phyllostomidae. The transcript is spliced from 2 exons. The record is from RefSeq and is a predicted model, not a curated record.
UAUUAUAAGGGCACUAAUCCUAUUUAUGAGGGCUUCACUGUCCUGACCUACCACUUCCCACAAUUCCCUGUCCUAAUAUUUUCUCUUUAGAGAUUAGGAUUUCAACAUAAGAAGUUGGAGGAGACAUAAACAUUCAUAUCACAUCACCCAGGCUCACUUGCAAAGGAGGUAAGAACUAAAACCAGCAGACUUUUCUGGCUCAGUCCUAAGCAAUACUGGGUCAAAGUUUAAGCGCUUGCUUUAUUGCUAAACAAAUUCAGGAACCAAGGAAAAAUAACUCAGGUGUUUGCUACUGAAAUGUAAAGCUCUUAACCAGUUAAAAUAGUUUAUUUGUCAAGACUAAGAGUGCAUUCAUUAAGGCUCACUUUAAGACCUUCACUUCAAGAUGCCAUUAAUUCAAAGUUGCUCGGUCUUAACCAUUUUUCCACCUAGCAAGACCAGGUGCUACAACAUUGUAAAUAUCUUUACUUUGCACUUCUGAAAUAUUUCUAGGUUUAAAUGUGAUGUUCUUUAUUUCAGUGAAAUGAUAUUUAGUUUUGCUUGAUCAAUAGAUUCUGUUGGUGAUCUCUUGGGGGAGUCAACUGCCAAAAGAGACAUGGUUACCCAAAAUGACCAGGAGAACUCCACAAGGCCCAAGCAUUCCCCUCUCCCUUAUAUAUAUCAAAAUUUCCACUGAAUUACAUGUGAGAAACAAAAUACCAUGAAUUUUAUUUUUAUCUAUUCAUAAAUAUACUCCCAGCACCUAAAAUGGUGCCUGUCAUAUAUUAAAGUCUCAAUAGAUACUUGGAUAAACAAAACUGAAAAUAAAUCAUGAAUGGAAUUUUUAUGUAGUUUUACUGAUUGGGCAAGCAGACAUUUUAAUGAAUAGAAAUCAAGGUGUGAGACAAAAAUAAUCACAAUCUCAUUAUUCAAAAAAAUUUUUUAUAUUGUUUUCUAGUUCUUAGCUACAUGCAGGCAUAUAUUUUGCAGUGCUAUAACUUUAAAACGGAUAUGCUUGUGUAUUUUGCUUUUCUUCCCAAAAGGUCCCCAAUACUUCUGUGCUGCCAUAUCGCUAUUAUAAUGAUCUUCUUAAUGACUAGAUAAUGGUCCAUGAAUGUGAAUUUUUAUUAUCAUCCAUUUACUGUUUGCCAACUGAAAAGUGUGUCUUUCAAUUAUAGGGAAGUUUUGUAGAAAUACUUAAUAAACCUAAAAUCAAUAGCCCUCACUUCA